This is a non-coding RNA of Acanthosepion pharaonis, 111 nucleotides long. The record is from the annotation of a GenBank genome assembly. Lineage: Eukaryota; Metazoa; Mollusca; Cephalopoda; Sepiida; Sepiidae.
CGGCUACAUCAUGUAAAAACACCAAUUCCCAUACGAUCACCGAUGUUGAACAACGUUGAGCCUGGUCAGUACCUAGAUGGAUGGCCGCUUGAGAAUACCAGGUGCUGUAAG